AGUGAACGCUGGCGGUAGGCCUAACACAUGCAAGUCGAACGGCAGCACAGUAAGAGCUUGCUCUUACGGGUGGCGAGUGGCGGACGGGUGAGGAAUACAUCGGAAUCUACUUUUUCGUGGGGGAUAACGUAGGGAAACUUACGCUAAUACCGCAUACGACCUACGGGUGAAAGCAGGGGAUCUUCGGACCUUGCGCGAUUGAAUGAGCCGAUGUCGGAUUAGCUAGUUGGCGGGGUAAAGGCCCACCAAGGCGACGAUCCGUAGCUGGUCUGAGAGGAUGAUCAGCCACACUGGAACUGAGACACGGUCCAGACUCCUACGGGAGGCAGCAGUGGGGAAUAUUGGACAAUGGGCGCAAGCCUGAUCCAGCCAUACCGCGUGGGUGAAGAAGGCUUUCGGGUUGUAAAGCCCUUUUGUUGGGAAAGAAAAGCAGCAGGUGAAUACCCCGCUGUUCUGACGGUACCCAAAGAAUAAGCACCGGCUAACUUCGUG
This 492-nucleotide ribosomal RNA is filed under the name uncultured bacterium. RNAcentral describes it as "partial 16S ribosomal RNA". It matches the Rfam family "Bacterial small subunit ribosomal RNA", at positions 29 to 507 of the family's 1533-position model. The record is from RNAcentral.